CCUACGGGUGGCAGCAGUGGGGAAUAUUGCACAAUGGGGGAAACCCUGAUGCAGCGACGCCGCGUGAGUGAAGAAGUAUUUCGGUAUGUAAAGUUCUAUCAGCAGGGAAGAAAAUGACGGUACCUGAUUAAGUAGCCACGGCUAACUACGUGCCAGCAGCCGCGGUAAUACGUAGGGCGCAAGCGUUAUCCGGAUUUAAUGGGUGUAAAGGGAGCGUUGAUGGCAGCACAAGUCUGGAGUGAAAUGCCGGGGGUUAAACCCGGAACUGCUUUGGAAACUGUGCAGCUAGAGUGCAGGAGAGGUAAGUGGAAUUCCUAGUGAAGCGGUGAAAUGCGUAGAUAUAAGGAAGAACACCAGUGGCGAAGGCAGCUUACUGGACUGUAACUGACGUUGAGGCUCGAAAGCGUGGGGAGCAAACAGGAUUAGAUACCCUUGUAGUC
RNAcentral lists this ribosomal RNA (440 nucleotides) under uncultured bacterium. RNAcentral describes it as "partial 16S ribosomal RNA". It matches the Rfam family "Bacterial small subunit ribosomal RNA", at positions 338 to 795 of the family's 1533-position model. The record is from RNAcentral.